This 253-nucleotide ribosomal RNA is filed under the name uncultured bacterium. Its description in RNAcentral is "partial 16S ribosomal RNA". It matches the Rfam family "Bacterial small subunit ribosomal RNA", at positions 524 to 776 of the family's 1533-position model. The record is from RNAcentral.
UACAGAGGGUGCAAGCGUUAAUCGGAAUUACUGGGCGUAAAGCGUGCGUAGACGGUUACGUAAGUCGGGUGUGAAAGCCCCGGGCUCAACCUGGGGAUUGCAUUCGAGACUGCAUAGCUAGGGUGCGGAAGAGGGAAGCGGAAUUUCCGGUGUAGCGGUGAAAUGCGUAGAUAUCGGAAGGAACACCAGUGGCGAAAGCGGCUUCCUGGUCCAGCACCGACGUUCAGGCACGAAAGCGUGGGGAGCAAACAGG